Molecule: ribosomal RNA, 253 nt
Filed under: uncultured bacterium
Lineage: Bacteria
Description: partial 16S ribosomal RNA
Rfam family: Bacterial small subunit ribosomal RNA
Source: RNAcentral
UACGAAGGGGGCUAGCGUUGCUCGGAAUCACUGGGCGUAAAGCGCACGUAGGCGGCUUCUUAAGUCAGGGGUGAAAUCCUGGAGCUCAACUCCAGAACUGCCUUUGAUACUGAGGAGCUUGAGUCCGGGAGAGGUGAGUGGAACUGCGAGUGUAGAGGUGAAAUUCGUAGAUAUUCGCAAGAACACCAGUGGCGAAGGCGGCUCACUGGCCCGGUACUGACGCUGAUGCACGAAAGUGUGGGGAUCAAACAGG